UGGGGAAUAUUGGACAAUGGGGGCAACCCUGAUCCAGCGAUGCCGCGUGUGCGAAGAAGGCCUGCGGGUUGUAAAGCACUUUGGUUGGGGAAGAAGGUUGGGCGUUGAAUAGAUGCCUGAAUUGACGUUACCCAAAGAACAAGCACCGGCUAACUCUGUGCCAGCAGCCGCGGUAAUACAGAGGGUGCGAGCGUUAAUCGGAAUUACUGGGCGUAAAGGGCGCGUAGGCGGCUCUUCAAGUCAGCCGUGAAAUCUCCGGGCUUAACCUGGAAGGGUCGGUUGAUACUGUCGAGCUAGAGUGUAGAAGAGGCAACUGGAAUUCCGUGUGUAGCGGUGAAAUGCGUAGAUAUACGGAGGAACACCUGCGGCGAAGGCGGGUUGCUGGGCUAACACUGACGCUGAGGCGCGAAAGCUAGGGUAGCAAACGGGGAUUAGAUACCCCCGUAGUCCCUGAGCGGGCUGGCAAGGCGCAU
Molecule: ribosomal RNA, 473 nt
Filed under: uncultured bacterium
Lineage: Bacteria
Description: bacterial SSU rRNA
Rfam family: Bacterial small subunit ribosomal RNA
Source: RNAcentral